RNAcentral lists this transfer RNA (86 nucleotides) under Neurospora crassa OR74A. RNAcentral describes it as "Neurospora crassa tRNA NCU15024". It matches the Rfam family "tRNA". Rfam says of the family: Transfer RNA (tRNA) molecules are approximately 80 nucleotides in length. Their secondary structure includes four short double-helical elements and three loops (D, anti-codon, and T loops). The record is from Rfam by way of RNAcentral. Lineage: Eukaryota; Fungi; Ascomycota; Sordariomycetes; Sordariales; Sordariaceae.
GGUUGUAUAGUGUAGCGGUUAUCACUCCGGAUUCUGAUUCUCCUCAGGACAUUCCGGCAACCCCGGUUCGAUUCCGGGUACGACCU